RNAcentral lists this unclassified non-coding RNA (214 nucleotides) under soil metagenome. RNAcentral describes it as "partial contains small subunit ribosomal RNA, internal transcribed spacer 1, and 5.8S ribosomal RNA". The record is from RNAcentral.
UCUCCGUUGGUGAACCAGCGGAGGGAUCAUUAGCGAAGAGCGAGCGCCCUCACAGGCCCUCUCCAAGCCUCUCAACCCUUGCGAACUGUACCCGAGCGUUGCCUCGGCGCCCCUGGCGGGCGCCGGCGGCCCUGCAAACUCUCCCACGCGCACAGCCCUCUGACACGAAUUUACAAACGAGUAAAAACUUUUGGCAACGGAUCUCUUGGCUCCG